AUGCAUGCCCUUAUCGGUAUGGUUCCUCCGGAGCCUCAGGAACCAGAAGCAGAAGGCAAGAAGAUGGAAAGAGUCGCAGUCGGUGCUCCUUUCACCUGGAUUGCAUGGAACUUUGGUACUUGCUCUGAGGAUGCUAAUGAGGAUGAGGUCAAGACAUAUGCUCGUGUCUACAUGUGAUACGUUAUAUCCAGGACUAUGUUUGCUGAUGGCACAGGCAAGAAUGCUCCAUGGAUGUGGCUGAAGGCGUUGACCGUCUUCGAUAGCAAAUGGAGUUAG
This 276-nucleotide ribosomal RNA is filed under the name Triticum aestivum (bread wheat). RNAcentral describes it as "partial small subunit ribosomal RNA". Lineage: Eukaryota; Viridiplantae; Streptophyta; Magnoliopsida; Poales; Poaceae. The record is from RNAcentral.